UUAAGUGACGAUAGCCUAGGAGAUACACCUGUUCCCAUGCCGAACACAGAAGUUAAGCCCUAGUACGCCUGAUGUAGUUGGGGGUUACCCCCUGUUAGAUACGGUAGUCGCUUAGC
This 116-nucleotide ribosomal RNA is filed under the name Streptococcus thermophilus. Lineage: Bacteria; Bacillati; Bacillota; Bacilli; Lactobacillales; Streptococcaceae. The record is from RNAcentral.